Podarcis lilfordi (Lilford's wall lizard) is the source of this 6333-nucleotide non-coding RNA. Lineage: Eukaryota; Metazoa; Chordata; Lepidosauria; Squamata; Lacertidae. The record is from the annotation of a GenBank genome assembly.
UGGCUGCAUUUCCACAAGCAUAAUAAGAAGCAGGGGAGGCAGGAAAAAAGCAGAGGAAUUGUGGUAUAUUUUAGACUGAGUGCAAGUCCUGCUUUCUUUUUCUUUGCAUACAGAGUAGCAAUAUUACAAAUGCUUUGUCUAGAAAUUUAAAUUGGACUCUGCAACAGCACUGUCCUCAACAGAUCUUGUGCGGUACAUAAUAUAUACUUAUCUAGAGGUACUAAAAUCCUAAGUGUAUUAAAGUUGUUUGUGUUCAAAAGAAACAAAUGUUAAAUCAAUAGAGUGUGGGGCAAUUUGAAUUACUCCAUUUGUGUGGUCAGAGAAAGGCACAUAGAUGAUGUACUACACGUUUUAAGUGAAAAUGCUUUCUGUGUUACUCAUUUUUCAAACAAAGCUGUUCCAAAUCCUGCAUAGUAUAUGAAUGCUUUUGCUGACUUUUUAAAAAAGUUCUCAUUCAUUCUUCACAAUAAUUUAAAUAACUGCAAGUAGACCCUAUGAGAACUGGGGGACAAGACAAUAGAAAAACUUAAAGAUGAGGAACUUACUCUGACUUCUGGGAGCCAAUGUAGGGAUUUAAAGAAGGUGUUGUUCCCUGAACCAUGAGACAAGUGAAUUAUUUUGGCAGUUCUAGAAAGAGCUGAGAGGGUUGAUGUGUGAUGAUGAAAGUCCAGAGAGGAGGAGGCUGCAGGACUCAAAUCAGCACGAUAAUUUCCUAUAUAAUAAUUGCUGACAUGAUUAUUUUCUUGAUAAUGUAAUAAUUUUUAAAUCGUCAUUGUGUUCUUAACUGGCCAUUCAUAUAUUCCAAAAGAAAGAUGGAGUGAUUUUUCCUUAAGGUGGAAGCAAAAAAGCACAUUUCAGAUGUCCUUGGCUUGGAAAAGUCUUUCUGUAUUGUAAAGUAUUUCUGGCAGCAAGCUGAAAAUAAGGUGUGAGAAUUUCAUUCCAUGUGUGACAAUUAAAGUAACACUAGGAAGCUGCCCAUCUGCUCAGUGGCUGAUAUCAACUACUGGAAAGGUGCAAAUAGACUUCUGGGCCUCAAAUCAUUGAAUAAUACAAUAGUAUAUUUUAGCUGGUGAAAUAUAUUUUUGGAACCGCACAUUUUUAAUAAAGUUGUGUUUUGUCUGCUUACACAACAGUCUUAGAAAAGCACUCUUACAUGGAUUAUCUUUUUCUGCAUUUUUCAUCAUGGUAUCAGCAAAACAGUUAUCAGCCCAGUCCAAAGCUCUGCAGGACUCCAGUCUGCACAUAAAGGGCCAUUCGCCCAUAAGCAGGGUUGAGAGACAUGGAUCUUAGAUCCCGUCCCCCAAAACAGACUUUGAUUGAGCAUAUAUGUGCAAUUCUAUUUAAAUGGGAUUUGGGGAUUUGCAUAGGAAAGGUUCCCAUCAAUGUAAGUAUUAAAUAUGGAAAUAUAUGUUAUUUUAAAUAUUUUUACACCAGUAGGGCCGAGGGUUGUUUCUUAACAUAAAUUACAUAUCUGAAAAGUUAGUAUGGCUCCUUAGGUCAUAGGUUUAAUGUGGAAGAUGUGCAAGGAGUGGGGAGAAAAGUUCAUAAUUUGCUCAACAGUCUGCAUUCAAGUUUAGAAAUACAUUUUUAACAACAACAACAAUUUCCCUCCCUUAAAUAGACUAUGUAAUUCUACAGGAGCAUAGCACACACAGUUCUCUAGCAAGGCGCUGUCUCAGGCAGUGGGGUUGCUGCUGCAUCUCAAGCCUUACUUCUAUCGGUCUAUCUAUCUAUCUAUCUAUCUACCUACCUAUCUUUCUGUGGAAUGUGUUAUAUCAGUACAGUCAAUUGCAACAUGCUUUACUUCCUAGAGUGAACAGAGACAGGGGGAUGUGUAACUUCCUGUUCCUGCUGUUACUCAGCAGAUGAGUGUGACUCUAUAAAAGCAGAGUCACGCAGCCAUUCAUUCUCUGUUCUGUUUGAUUCAACUCUUAGUUAAGUCUCUUACAUUUUGUUGGCUGCUGGCUCUUAGCCAGCAGCACUUACGGUAGGCCCAUCCUCACAAAGGAUGUAAGCCACAUUACAUGUUUGUAACCUGAAGCUUAAAGCCUGCCUUCUAGGGUGUGUACUGUGAACAACUUGUAAGUAAACUUAUUGUUAUACUUUUAAAGACAGACUUGUGAAUCUUUAUUGUAUUUUAAGAGGGCAGAAAGGGGACACCAGAGAUAAUCCAUCUGGGCAAGACAGAUUGGAUUAGUCAUUUUGUAGAGAUUCAAAUGAAUCUAAUCAACUAGCUUCUGUGAAUAUAGAGGGAUUUGCUCUGCUACAUCGUGAAUGAAGGAUAAUACUUAACAAAUAUUUCCUUGCCUAUUUUCCUAAACAUCCCCAUACUAUCUAUCCCACCUUUUCCCAGACAGGGAUUCAAGGUGGCUUACAGAUAAAAACAUAGAAAAAAUUAUCAUACUAGCAUUAAGAGGAGAAGAAGGGGCACAUAAAAAUCAUUCUAUAAAUUUUAAAAGUAAAUUAAGACCAAAUCAAAUCACUAAAAUUUAUUUCCCAUUCUUAUCCUUCACAAUUUGGGAUCCUUUCACUGAACUGAACUGUAAAGUUCAACAUCAUAUCUGUACCUUUAUAGAUAUAACAACAAAUGCUGGCUUGACAGUACUAUAGAUAGAAAUAAUUACCCACAGAGCCAAUGUAGCACAUGCAGAAUAAGUGUCAAUUAUUCCUUCAUUUCCCUACUACCUCUGACUUACUGGAGAGGAGCGUGCCCUCAUCAUGAACUUAAAGAAGAGGUCACAGCAUGUCACAUACCAGUCAAUUAUUUUUAGCUUGAAAACUUCUUUUUUUCUUUUUGUGGAAGAAUAUUGGCAUUAAGAUUUUAGAAAAAAGAAGUUUGCAACAUUUGCCAUUGCAAAAGCACAUUGAAGACAUGAAAUUUGAAUGUGGCUUAAAUGUAAGAAACCAAAAUAAAGAUAAACUUUACUUUGUUGUGAGUUUGAGAGUGUGUGUGGGUGUGGGUGUAUCUGUAUUAGGCUGUAUGAUGUCUGAGUCCCUUCUAAUUCCUGGAUCCAAAAAGGGUUAAAAUCUAAUGGAUUUGAAUUAGCCAGGCAAGGGCUGUAGUGGCCCUUAAGUAUGGGUCAUUAGUAUAAGAAAGGAAGUUUCUCAGCAUAAGAAAGUACAAUGGUACCUUGGGUUACAGAUGCUUCAAGUUACAGAUGCUUCGGGUUACAAACUCUGCUAACCAGGAAGUGGUUGCUUCAGGUUAAGAAUGGAAAUCACACGCCAGCGGCGCAGCAGCAGGAGGCCCCAUUAGCGAAAGUGCACCUCAGGUUAAGAACCGUUUCAGGUUAAGAACGGACCUCUGGAACGAAUUAAGUUCUUAACCCGAGGUACCACUGUAAGGACAGAUGUGGGGGGGAGAGGCCUCUCCUUGCUGGUAGUAAGAAGGAGAAUAACCAGAGAGUAGUUGUUUGAGAGAGCUGGGCUAGAAGCAGGCUGCAGGCAGAAGCUUGAGAGUGAGAGCCAUGCUUGAUUUCUGCUUGAAUCCAAGGUUGUGGCUAUGGGAGAAGCAAGACCUUCUGGGGUGUUAAAUCUGUGAGCCCCUCCAUCACAGGCUCAGGUUGUAUAUGACUGUAAAUAAACCAUAUAUCAUAAAGACACCACAGUCUCUGCUGCUCCUCAUUCCAAGGAAACCAAGCCCUGGGUAAGCAUCUAAAACCUCUGGAAUCUCACACUGCUCAGAGAUUGGGGUGGCAUGCAACAAUAUAUAGAACUGGCAGUACCAAGAUUCCCUGUAAUCCUAUUUACCUAUGAGCCAACACUGUUAAAACUUUCUGUAUGGUUACCAGACACAGUACCUAGAUCUGCAUCUGCCCUCAGAUUAAUUGACAGAGGACACAAUGUGUUGCCUUUGGAACAGACAAGUAAUCCUGAUAGUGUCUUAAUUUGUUUACAAUUUGUUUGUAAAUAUUCAAUAAACAAUUUCCAUUCCUUGAUAAAAAGGCUGUUGUCUUGAUUUCUUGUUCUUCUUGUAAGUUUCGCCAUUUCUGCAUAGUCCAUUAAUUUCUGUAACCAUUCUUUUUUUCAUUGGGACUUCUUCUUUCCAUUUUUGUGCGAAUAUCAUUCUUGCGGAAGUGAUUGCAGACAUAAAUAAAUUUCUAUAUUGUUUAGGUAACUCUGACCCCAGAAUUCUCAAGAAAAAGGCUUCUUCUUCCUCCUUUUUUUUUAAACAAAUGUUAACUUAAACAUCUUUUUCAAUUCAUUAUAUAUCAUUUCCCAGUAAGUUUUAACCUUAUUAUAAGACCACCACAUAUGGAAAAAAAGGUACCUUUUCCCCUUUGCAUUUCCAGGACAUAUUCAAUUUGGAUUUGUACAUUUUUGCCAAUCUUUUUGGUGUUAGAUUCCAUCUGUAUAACAUUUUCAUACAGUUUUCUCUUAAACCAUAACAUGCUGUAAAUUUUAUCUCCAUGUUGCACAGUCUUUCCCAUGCCUCCAUUUCUAUGUUAUGACCAAUAUGUAUUGCCCAAUGUAUCAUUGAAGAUUUCACUUGUUCAUCUUUUGUGUCUCAUUCCAAUAAUAUUUUAUACAUUUUAGACAUCACUUUAACUUUACAGUCUAGCAGGUCUCUUUCUAGUUGAGACACUUGUUCCCCAAACUCCUGUUUUUUACCCAUUUUGAAUAUUUUAUUAAAUGAUAAUGUUGUAUCCACAUUGUUAAUAUUCCUGAUAAAUCCUUAAACUUUUAAUUUGAAUUUUCCACCCUCUUUUAACAAAUUUAUAUAAGUUACCCAGUUUUCCGUCAUGUUAUUCUUCUUCACCGCUAUAGCUUCUACUGAUGAAAGCCAUAGUGAAAGCCUUAGCUGGUCCCUCUGUAGCCUCCAGCUGCUUCUGGGUUGCUGCUGGAUUCAAGGAGCACGACACCUUUGGAAGUUUCCAUGCUUUCUUUAUUUGCUACUUUGAUGUUUCAAUUUUCUGUUGGAAUUUAUUUCCAUGCUCUGCUGAUGUGUUUUCACACUCUUCCUAGAGCUGCUUUUGUGAUGAUUGCUUGGUGUGUGUUUUUAUUGUCACCUUCUGUAAAGAUGAUUUCUCUAGAAAUGUGAUUGACAAGUUCAAGAAAAAGAAGCAUACGUUAAUUUCUGCCAUUAUUUCUAAGGAUGCAUGUGUGCUAUGAUUCUGGGAAAGUACAAAGAGCUGUAGUGCAGGAUGUAGUGCAGGAUGCAGUUGUUGGUGUAGAACUGACCUUCCUCAGAAGCUUUGCUUUCAUUUUGGGGCCCUUGUUGUUGCGAAUUUUAUUUUUGUUUUGUUUCGAAAAUGCAACUUUCUAUAUUUUAUACUUGGGGGAGGAAUGUUUAGAUAUAUGGAGGUAACAUAGGCAUAGGCAAACUCUGGCCCUCCCGAUGUUUGGGACUACAAUUCCCAUCAUCCCUAACUAACAGGACCAGUGGUCAGGGAUAUUGGGAAUUGUAGUCCCAAACAUCUGGAGGGUCGGCGUUUGCCUAUGCCUGAGGUAACAUAUCAAAAGCCCAAAAGCUAAGUAAGAUGCCAGUGAUCAGGGAUUGGCACUUCAGUCACUACCACUCCACCCGAGUAACAAACACCAAAACAAUAACAAUUGCAGAAUAAUUUAUACAAAGAAAAAUCAGCAAAUAUGCAUAAUUUCUAAAGAUAGUAAAAUUUUGCUCUAUUUUUUGCCAUUGCAGAAUUCUAAAUAUAGGUGGAUAUACAUAGCCAUUACUCAACUAUGCUAGUCUGCAGUUUUUCUCCCAAAUAAAUAGCCCUACCUUUGACAUCAGAUUUUCACUCUUGCUUCAGAGUAGGCUGUGAGGCCAGUGUAUUUGGACUAGAUUUAGAAUCACUUCUUAGUUAUUGUGUUUAUUUUGUACCAGAUGAGGCCAAACCAAAUGGGGCAGAUGCAGUGGCAGUGGUGGGGAACUUUUAGCUAUCCUGCAGCUCCCUUUAUCUCUGACCACUCUGGUCACUCUGGCUGAAACUGUUGGGAACUAUAGUCAGGCAAUAUCUGGAGGGCCACAGGAUCCCCACCAAUGCAUUAUAGUAUGCUCAAUCAGCUAUUUAAAAGAACCUACAUUUGGUUCAUAGAUACACUCUGUUUUCUGCUUAUGGCUGCCACGAAAUAUCUCAGUGUACAAUCUCUUUAUUCCAGUUGUAGAAAAAUUAUUAAUAACCCACCCAAGAGGAAUGUAACAAACAUUGUGAAUCGAUGUGGACUUGUGCCUUAUCUGAGCAUGGCACGUUCCCCCUGCCGCCUCCGUGCCAUUUCCAUACUGUUCCACAGGGCUCAAAACCUUCUGAACCAGCUUUUCUGGGGUUGUAAAAUAAUAAAAAAUCACUUCCCCACUCCUUUUCUCUGGCAGGAUUGUCCCAUGAGAAGAGA